This 79-nucleotide small nucleolar RNA is filed under the name Mesocricetus auratus (golden hamster). The record is from RNAcentral. Lineage: Eukaryota; Metazoa; Chordata; Mammalia; Rodentia; Cricetidae.
CGGCGCCAUAGCAAUUGCUGGUUCAUAACUGGGGCCCCCUGCCCAUCGCGGGCGGCCCUUUUAACUGCCAGCCACAGGC